CACCAAUCAAGCCUGGCUUGGUGUUGGGGCACGGGGGUGACCCGGCCCUCAACGUCUUCGGCAGGAGCGCCCCGAUCGCAGCGUUGUGGACACACAAUCUCGCUGGUGAGACGGGCGAUUCGCGCCGCGAAACCCAUCAAA
RNAcentral lists this unclassified non-coding RNA (141 nucleotides) under uncultured Dothideomycetes. Its description in RNAcentral is "sequence contains ITS2". Lineage: Eukaryota; Fungi; Ascomycota; Dothideomycetes. The record is from RNAcentral.